AUUCAGUAACAUCAAUCAUUCAAAACCUUUUUAAAAUCUAAACGUGUGUCCCAUAUUAUCCGGAACACUUUUAUCGCUUGGUUUUCGUUUAAUUUUAUGACGGACAUUGAAAAAAUAAAAUGUGUUUCCUCUGUUUUGCCUAUACGACGAUCUAACAAAUACAUUGGGGUUAGGUUAACUUUUAUGUCUGAUGUUUUUAAGUUUUAGCUGAUUCUGGGCGUGUAGUGAGGAAACUAUG
Non-coding RNA from Cinara cedri, 238 nucleotides. The record is from the annotation of a GenBank genome assembly. Lineage: Eukaryota; Metazoa; Arthropoda; Insecta; Hemiptera; Aphididae.